ACUCCUACGGGAGGCAGCAGUGGGAAUAUUGCACAAUGGCGCAAGCCUGAUGCAGCCAUGCCGCGUGUGUGAAGAAGGCCUUCGGGUUGUAAAGCACUUUCAGUCGUGAGGAAAGGUGAGUGUAGUUAAUAGCUUGCUAUUAUUUGACGUUAGCGAACAAGAAGAAGCGACCGGCUAACUCCGUGCCAGCAGCCGCGGUAAUACGGAGGGUGCGAGCGUUAAUCGGAAUUACUGGGCGUAAAGCGCAUGCAGGUGGUUUGUUAAGUCAGAUGUGAAAGCC
Molecule: ribosomal RNA, 280 nt
Filed under: uncultured bacterium
Lineage: Bacteria
Description: partial 16S ribosomal RNA
Rfam family: Bacterial small subunit ribosomal RNA
Source: RNAcentral